GACCUUGCCUUACAGGGGAGACCCCGAAAUCACAAAGUUGGUUUUUCCAGGGCAAGGCUUAUCAUACAUUGCCCCUGGGUGUGCCGAUCCCUCUGGUUUCCCCAAAUGCAAAACUGACUGCACGAUUUGUGGUAGUGGGGAUUGCACUCAUAUUCUCUCCU
Mesocricetus auratus (golden hamster) is the source of this 161-nucleotide small nuclear RNA. Its record names the gene U1. It matches the Rfam family "U1 spliceosomal RNA". From Rfam's summary of the family: U1 is a small nuclear RNA (snRNA) component of the spliceosome (involved in pre-mRNA splicing). Its 5' end forms complementary base pairs with the 5' splice junction, thus defining the 5' donor site of an intron. The record is from Ensembl. Lineage: Eukaryota; Metazoa; Chordata; Mammalia; Rodentia; Cricetidae.